RNAcentral lists this ribosomal RNA (934 nucleotides) under uncultured bacterium. RNAcentral describes it as "bacterial SSU rRNA". It matches the Rfam family "Bacterial small subunit ribosomal RNA", at positions 28 to 946 of the family's 1533-position model. The record is from RNAcentral.
GACGAACGCUGGCGGCGUGCCUAACACAUGUAAGUCGCACGGGACCGGGGGCAACUCCGGUUCAGUGGCAGACGGGUGCGUAACACGUGAGGAACCUGUCCGACGGCGGGGGAUAGCCGGCCCAACGGCCGGGUAAUACCGCAUACGCUCGUUUGGGGGCAUCCCUGGGCGAGGAAAGCAGCCGCAAGGUUGCGCCGAUGGAGGGUCUCGCGGCCUAUCAGCUUGUUGGCGGGGUAACGGCCCACCAAGGCGACGACGGGUAGCUGGUCUGGGAGGAUGGCCAGCCACAUUGAGACUGAGACACGGCCCAGACUCCUACGGGAGGCAGCAGUGGGGAAUCUUGCGCAAUGGCCGCAAGGCUGACGCAGCGACGCCGCGUGUGGGAUGACGGCCUUCGGGUUGUAAACCACUGUCAGGGGGAACGAAUACCGGGCCGCGAAUAGCGGACCCGGGGUGACGGUACCUCCAAAGGAAGCACCGGCUAACUCCGUGCCAGCAGCCGCGGUAAUACGGAGGGUGCGAGCGUUGUCCGGAAUCACUGGGCGUAAAGGGCGCGUAGGCGACUCGCUAAGUGGCUGGUGAAAUCCCGGGGCUCAACUCCGGGGCUGCCGGUCAGACUGACGGGCUCGAGCACGGUAGAGGCAGAUGGAAUUCCCGGUGUAGCGGUGGAAUGCGUAGAGAUCGGGAAGAAUACCAGUGGCGAAGGCGUUCUGCUGGGCCGUUGCUGACGCUGAAGCGCGACAGCGUGGGGAGCAAACAGGAUUAGAUACCCUGGUAGUCCACGCCGUAAACGAUGGACACUAGGCGUCGGGGGGGAGCGACCCUCCCGGUGCCGUCGCUAACGCAGUAGGUGUCCCGCCUGGGGAAGUACGGCCGCAAGGCUGAAACUCAAAGGAAUUGACGGGGGCCCGCACAAGCGGUGGAGCAUGUGGUU